UACGUAGGGUGCAAGCGUUAAUCGGAAUUACUGGGCGUAAAGCGUGCGCAGGCGGCUUUGCAAGACAGAUGUGAAAUCCCCGGGCUCAACCUGGGAACUGCAUUUGUGACUGCAUCGCUGGAGUGUGGCAGAGGGGGAUGGAAUUCCGCGUGUAGCAGUGAAAUGCGUAGAUAUGCGGAGGAACACCGAUGGCGAAGGCAAUCCCCUGGGCCUGCACUGACGCUCAUGCACGAAAGCGUGGGGAGCAAACAGG
Molecule: ribosomal RNA, 253 nt
Filed under: uncultured bacterium
Lineage: Bacteria
Description: partial 16S ribosomal RNA
Rfam family: Bacterial small subunit ribosomal RNA
Source: RNAcentral